UUUGAGCUACAAACUGAUAGCAAAUCAACCAUUUUGUAUAGCCAAAAACCCUGUGCAUCAUGAAAGAACUAAACAUGUUGAGAUAGAUAGACACUUCAUCUCUGAGAAGGUGAACAAUGGAGUUUCUAAACUCAAAUUUGUCUCUACUAAAGAUCAGCAAGCUGAUGUUCUCACCAAGGCCCUUCCAAGAGUUACAUUUGAUGAAAUUACAUCCAAGCUGAGACUCUACAAUAUAUACUCACCAGCUUAAGGGGGAGUGUAGGUUAUUACGAGUUUCUUUUA
Molecule: long non-coding RNA, 282 nt
Organism: Hibiscus syriacus
Lineage: Eukaryota; Viridiplantae; Streptophyta; Magnoliopsida; Malvales; Malvaceae
Exons: 3
Source: RefSeq, a predicted model, not a curated record